This 996-nucleotide ribosomal RNA is filed under the name Triticum aestivum (bread wheat). RNAcentral's name for it is "partial small subunit ribosomal RNA". Lineage: Eukaryota; Viridiplantae; Streptophyta; Magnoliopsida; Poales; Poaceae. The record is from RNAcentral.
AUGGCGGCGGCGAAGUUGGUGUUGGCGAUGCUCGUGGUGGCGGUUGGCGUCGCGGCGGGGGAGGGCGGCGGGAAGCUCCGGCAGGGGUACUACGAGCAGAGCUGCCCGCGGGCGGAGCAGAUCGUGAAGCACUACGUGGAGCGGCACGUCCCGCACGCGCCCUCCGUCGCCGCCACCCUCAUCCGCACCCACUUCCACGACUGCUUCGUCAGGGGAUGCGACGCGUCGGUGCUGCUGAACGCGACGACCGGCGGCGGGGAGGCCGAGAAGGACGCGACGCCCAACCUGACGCUGCGCGGCUUCGCCUUCCUGGACCGCGUCAAGGCGCUGGUCGAGCAGGAGUGCCCCGGCGUCGUCUCCUGCGCCGACAUCCUCGCGCUCGCGUCCCGCGACGCCGUCGGCGUCAUCGGCGGGCCGUUCUGGCGCGUGCCGACGGGGCGGCGCGACGGCAGGGUGUCGAUCAAGCAGGAGGCGCUGGACCAGAUCCCGGCGCCCACCAUGAACUUCACCGACCUCCUCACCUCCUUCCGCGCCAAGGGCCUCGACGUCGCCGACCUCGUCUGGCUCUCAGGGGCACACACCAUCGGCAUCUCGCACUGCAACUCCUUCACCGAGCGGCUAUACAACUUCACCGGCCGCGGAGGACCCGGGGACGCCGACCCAUCUCUUGAUGCGGAGUAUGCUGCCAACCUCCGCCGGACCAAGUGCACCACACCCACGGACAACACCACCAUCGUGGAGAUGGACCCUGGGAGCUUCCUCACCUUUGACACUAGCUACUACCGCGGCCUCCUCAAGCGCCGGGGACUCUUCCAGUCCGACGCUGCGCUCAUCACCGACACAGCGGCGAGGGCCGACGUCGAGAGCGUGGCCAAGGGUCCCUCAGAGGUGUUCUUCCAGGUGUUCGCACGGUCCAUGGUGAGGAUGGGCAUGAUAGAAGUGAAGACCGGUGGCGAGGGGGAGAUCAGACGGCAUUGUGCCGUUGUCAACAGCUAG